GAUGAACGCUGGCGGCGUGCCUAAUACAUGCAAGUCGAGCGAACAGAUGAGGAGCUUGCUCCUCUGACGUUAGCGGCGGACGGGUGAGUAACACGUGGAUAACCUACCUAUAGGACUGGGAUAACUUCGGGAAACCGGAGCUAAUACCGGAUAAUAUAUUGAACCGCAUGGUUCAAAAGUGAAAGACGGUUUUGCUGUCACUUAUAGAUGGAUCCGCGCCGCAUUAGCUAGUUGGUAAGGUAACGGCUUACCAAGGCAACGAUGCGUAGCCGACCUGAGAGGGUGAUCGGCCACACUGGAACUGAGACACGGUCCAGACUCCUACGGGAGGCAGCAGUAGGGAAUCUUCCGCAAUGGGCGAAAGCCUGACGGAGCAACGCCGCGUGAGUGAUGAAGGUCUUCGGAUCGUAAAACUCUGUUAUUAGGGAAGAACAAAUGUGUAAGUAACUAUGCACGUCUUGACGGUACCUAAUCAGAAAGCCACGGCUAACUACGUG
This 497-nucleotide ribosomal RNA is filed under the name uncultured bacterium. RNAcentral's name for it is "partial 16S ribosomal RNA". It matches the Rfam family "Bacterial small subunit ribosomal RNA", at positions 28 to 507 of the family's 1533-position model. The record is from RNAcentral.